AGUGAGCUCAAAGGAAAAGCUGACAAUGGACUCACUACAAGGAUCUAGCCAGGUAUCACCUGAGCAUUUGAAAUCGAUGAAGUCCGCAAUUCACUCAUUCCUACAGGAGACCGGUGUUUACGACUCUAUACGCGACAUUGUUGAUACGUAUGUCUCAGAGCACGGCGAUGAGGCCGACUCCAGCGAAAACCCAAGCGCCAUCAUGCGAAUUGUGAAAGAAAAAGGAAUAUUACAGGAGCUUGUCAGCCAAAUUCAGUCUCGUUCUACUGUAGGCGCGGUACCUUCCAUCACCGUACCGAGUGAUGGCCGGCACUACCUUCUUGUUCGAGUGAAUGGCGGACGCGCUUUUGUAGACAACCUCGACCUAGCCCCCUCGACUGUGAGCAAGCGUUCUGUCGUCUUCGCUGCUCACUUUGGUAACCAGAGGUUCCGCUCUGCAGUAAAGCCGUGCUCUGCCGAACCAAAGUUUGAUGAAGAGUUUCUCUUUGAAGUGGACGCCACUGGGUUCGGGUUUGGCGAGGCGGAUCUUAUCGAAGUCUCAACCCCUUUUCACAUUGCCGUCCUGCGAGAAGAUUCACAGCUCAACGUCGCUGAGCUGCUGGGCGAGAAUAUCAUAGAAUGGAGAAAGGUCCUAAAAAGCGGUUACCUAGGGCUCACGGUGGAACUCUGUGGCAGAAACGCUGGGGUACCAGCAGGUAUUGUAGAUCUACAGCUCGAGUUGGUGUCGAAAAAGCGCAUUCGGUACAAGGAGGAGGAUAUUGUGUCGCGUGUGGAGCAGCAGCGUAUUGCCGUCACCAACGCUGACCGCGAGUUCCUCGUGUACUCUCGGCGAUGGUGGUCAGAGUAUCAGGGUUUACGCCCCACACACAAAGAUCGAAAGGUACGACUAUUUGCAUCCACGUCAACUGGAAGGAUGGUGCCACUGACCCACUUCGUUUCGCCAAUACAAGCAGAGUUCGGCCUCGACUCACCGCAGGAUGCCGCGCGUUUUGUCUCGCUGCUGCGCGUCACUGCCGAGGGCACCGGCUCCAUAGGGGCGUUGAGCCUUGAAGAAAGUAGCUGGCUAUCGCCUUUUAUUUUUCUUUCGCAGAGGCAAGGCUACCACUGCAACCACGCUGCCCUUCUUUGCUCUCUUUUACUGGGGUUUGGUAUCGAUGCUUACUGCGCUCUUGGGUCUUGCCACAACGGCGAAGUCGGGGUUUUUGUCGUCUCCAGGUCUACCGAUGCGCGUGGCUCAGCCAAGGUCACGGUGUGGAACCCCACGUCAGGUGAGCGGUCUUCGCCGAGUGAGCAGGAUACAUUCGCUACCGUUGACUGCAUGUUCAACAACAAAUCUUUUUUUGCCAAUUGCCAAGCCUCGAACAACAUCGCUACCACAUCGUUUGAGUGCUACAAUGAAGAACUCUGGAAGCCACUGAACGUGCUGAAACUGAGAAUGGUGCCAAGGUACCCUUCUGCACCACUCUUGUUUGAAACUGUCGCUGCGUCGCCGAUCGAGCGCUCACUGGAGAUUCAGCUGAGGGCGGCGAUUUCGACGUACCGCGACUCCUUUGGUGUGGUGACGACGUAUGACGACACGGUUUCGUACGUGCUGUCGCAGGCGCUGCUACUGUACGAACGUCAGCAGAGUGAGGGCGGCGCCCAGAGUUUCGCCCUUUUUCAAGAAUCUGUGAAGGGCACCCUAGGGGUGGGGAAAACGUUCAAGGCUAUUCCGCUGAACGUUUCGUACCUCGACGCCGGCAGCGUUAUGGACGUUGUGCGCGCUGCUUCGGUGGGAAGAGAGAUUUUGGAUACGGUGGUGGACAGCGCCAAAUUUGGAGUGCGCGCCAAGGUAUUCUGCUUCCCAGAACGUGUCUUCUCUGUUUGGGUGAUGAUUGCGGUAAACUACAGUGCAGCCAGCAUUUCAUAGCUGACUUUUUGCAUUGCCUGUAUCGCUUUGUGUAUUGUUUCGCCGUGGAUCUCUGCAUAUCUUUUUACUGACUGGCUCAUAGACUGCGUACCAUGGCUUUGUAUAC
Molecule: unclassified non-coding RNA, 2015 nt
Filed under: Leishmania donovani
Lineage: Eukaryota; Euglenozoa; Kinetoplastea; Trypanosomatida; Trypanosomatidae
Description: gene:LdHU3.28.3020(CDS-product:CEP76_C2_domain_co ntaining_protein_putative)
Source: RNAcentral